CAGGUGCAGCUGAAGGAGUCAGGACCUGGCCUGGUGGCGCCCUCACAGAGCCUGUCCAUCACAUGCACUGUCUCUGGGUUCUCAUUAACCAGCUAUGCUAUAAGCUGGGUUCGCCAGCCACCAGGAAAGGGUCUGGAGUGGCUUGGAGUAAUAUGGACUGGUGGAGGCACAAAUUAUAAUUCAGCUCUCAAAUCCAGACUGAGCAUCAGCAAAGACAACUCCAAGAGUCAAGUUUUCUUAAAAAUGAACAGUCUGCAAACUGAUGACACAGCCAGGUACUACUGUG
Molecule: non-coding RNA, 286 nt
Organism: Mus musculus (house mouse)
Lineage: Eukaryota; Metazoa; Chordata; Mammalia; Rodentia; Muridae
Source: the annotation of a RefSeq genome assembly